RNAcentral lists this ribosomal RNA (406 nucleotides) under uncultured bacterium. RNAcentral describes it as "partial 16S ribosomal RNA". It matches the Rfam family "Bacterial small subunit ribosomal RNA", at positions 29 to 526 of the family's 1533-position model. The record is from RNAcentral.
AUUGAACGCUGGCGGCAGGCCUAACACAUGCAAGUCGAGCGAGCGGCGGACGGGUGAGUAAUGUCUGGGAAACUGCCUGAUGGAGGGGGAUAACUACUGGAAACGGUAGCUAAUACCGCAUACUAUCAGAUGUGCCCAGAUGGGAUUAGCUAGUAGGUGGGGUAACGGCGCACCUAGGCGACGAUCCCUAGCUGGUCUGAGAGGAUGACCAGCCACACUGGAAGUGAGACACGGUCCAGACUCCUACGGGAGGCAGCAGUGGGGAAUAUUGCACAAUGGGCGAAAGCCGGAUGCAGCAAUGCCGCGUGUGUGAAGAAGGCCUUCGGGUUGUAAAGCACUGUCAGCGGGGAGGCGUUACCCGCAGAAGAAGCAACGGCUAACUCCGUGCCAGCAGCCGCGGUAAUAC